RNAcentral lists this long non-coding RNA (1031 nucleotides) under Calidris pygmaea (Spoon-billed sandpiper). RNAcentral describes it as "lncRNA (ENSCPGG00000017760.1)". Lineage: Eukaryota; Metazoa; Chordata; Aves; Charadriiformes; Scolopacidae. The record is from RNAcentral.
GCACAAGAGGCCUUUGCAUGAGGGGUUCUGUUACACAAAGAUCCUUUACAUGAGGGUUCGUGUUGCACGAGGGUCUCUUGCACGAGGGUUUCUCUCCCACGAGGGUGCCUUGCAUGUGGGUUUCUGUUACACGAGGGUCUUUUACACGAGGGUUUCUCUUGCAUGAGAGUUUCUCUUGCACAAGAGGCCUUUGCAUGAGGGUCCUUUCCACAAGGCUUUGUGUUACACGAGGGUCUUUUGCACAAGGGUUUCUCUCACACGAGGGUCCUUUACACGAGGAUUUCUCUUGUACGAGAGGCCUUUGCACGAGGGGUUCUGUUACACGAGGACCUUUCGCACGAGGACUCCCCUCGCACGGGGGGGCUCGGGGGGGGGUUCCCCACCCCCAACCCCCCUCUAACCGCCCCCCUCCUCCUUUUUCCCCCCCCCCCACCCCCAGGUCCCCUCCGUCAGACCUUCCCCCAGAACCCCCUCACCCCCCCGGGGGGGCCCCCCCCCGCCCCCCCCUCCUCCCCCUCCAAGCGCCCCUGGAAGGACACCCUGGGCUGAGGCACCGCAAUAAACGACGCCCCCCACCCCUUAUUUCCCGCCUCUUCCGUUUUCAUUUUGGGGGGGAAAUGGCGCUAAAAAGGGCGUUUUGGGGGCCAAGAUGGCGGCGCCCGCGGGGCGGGGGGUGCCGUACAACAUGGCGGCGGGCGUAUCAACAUGGCGGCAGUGCCGUACAACAUGGCGGCGCUUCCGGAACAACAUGGCGGCGCUUCCGGAAGAGGAUGGCGGCUGUUCCGUACAACAUGGCGGCGCUAUAGAUCAUGGCGGCGCCUGUAACAACAUGGCGGCGGUGCCGUACAACAUGGCGGCGCUUCCGGAACAGCAUGGCGGCGCUUCCGGAAGAACAUGGCGGCGGCGGUUCCGUACAGCAUGGCGCUUCCGGAAGAACAUGGCGGCGCUUCCGGAAGAACAUGGCGGCGGCGCUGCCGUACAACAUAGCGGCGCUUCCGGAACAACAUGGCGGCGCUUCCGGAAGAGGAUGG